Amazona collaria (yellow-billed parrot) is the source of this 119-nucleotide ribosomal RNA. The record is from Ensembl. NCBI's taxonomy places the organism in Eukaryota, Metazoa, Chordata, Aves, Psittaciformes, Psittacidae.
GCCUAUGGUCACACCACCCUGAAAAUGCCUGAUCUCACCUGAUCUUGGAAGCUAAGCAGGGUAAGGCUUAGCUAGUACUUGGGUGGGAGAUGACCUGGGAAUCUGCUGCGCUGUAGGCU